AUAAUGGCCAUUUCGCCCUUUGGUAAAAAAGUUCCAAAACUUUCUAUCAUCUCCAUAACUGAUCCUCAUUCAAUCUUUACUCUUCAGAUAUAUCUCUUUUCUCUGGAAGAUAUUCAACGCCGCUUCGUGUAGCAAUUUUUGGUCAGGUUUUCUCAGCUUCAGCUAUACCGUGGAAACUUUAUCAUGGUGAAUCGAACAGUUAUUACGAGUUUCAACUAUGCCAUUGAAAAAUUUAAUGGAGGAUCGGUCUAUGCGAUUUGAACUCAUUCAUGAACUUUGAGUUGUCGUUGAAAGCAUAGAAAUCCUGAGAGGCGACUAUUCAUACUAUCAGAUUGCCAAAGCCAAAGUACCAUACGAGAUGUUCUUAAUGACCUAAAAACAAAGGUUGAAUUAUCACAGCCAGAUGUUGAACUAAGAUUACUGGAAGUGUUUUACCGCAAGAUAUAUGAGAAUAACAUCUGGAAGUUCGCAAAAAAGGGUUUGACAGUGGGGAACUGCUUCUGAAUUAAUAGCCUAGGUUGCGGUUAACAUCUAUAAGUUUCCAGGUUGAGGAUAACAUCUGCAAGUCCACCAGUCUUGAAGUGAGAUAGAAAUUGAAUUAUUGGGAUCGAUGACUACUGCGCUGAGAGCUUCUCUUCUUCUACUCGCUAUGCGGAAUCUCACACACAUACAUAACUUAUAAAAAUUGUGAGCUUAUUUAUUUGUUUUAUGAUAUUUACUUUUACAUUAAGAAAAUUAUUAUGAUUCCACUACUUUUUGCUAUUACUUGUGCAAAAAAAGAAUGUAAAGAUGAAAUUUGAUUAUAUCCUAAUCAGUUGUGAAAUUUUUUAUUUCUUUUUUGUGGUCAUACACCAUUUUAGACAUAAUAACUUAGAUAACUACUUUAUUACCUUAGCUUCUGCGGUAUAAAAAUAAUUUUGAAAAACAAUCAACUUACUCAUCCAUUUGAAAGUAUUUGGAACUGUGUCUUCAAUAUGUAAUUGAUUUGAUAGACAAAUAAUUCAUUAAGAGUUUGACGCACGUAGCGAAUACCUAGAGGAUCCACUGUUAUCCUACUUAGAACUUAAAUAAGCCCCCAACAAAUUUCACUAAUUCCGACAACUUCGUGAUGGAGGUAAGAGGUUAUAAAACUGUAUAUCAUUAUAAGAACCUUUUUGGUAUAACUUCAUUAUCGUGGCUAAUUUUACAAGUAAUGAAUUUAGUCGUAGAUCGGCCCUCUGUUAGUUGAAGAAGCACCUUCUUAAGAUUUCUUAUAACUUUUAAAGUUGUGAUUUGUGAAUUUGAUAUAUAGUCAUUGGAUGCUUAAAAGGAAAAAACUUCAUAAUAUUCCAUUUGUCUUAUAUUUGUUAAGGUUGUUGCUCUAUGCUUAUAUAUUGUUUUGAUUUAAAAGGAUGACUUUCACUUUACUUUUGAAGAAACUUUAACUGAGCUACCAGAAAAAUGAUAAACACUACCUUGAAAUCUACUGUUAUAGUCAUUUUUAUUUGGUUGAUCAUUUUCGAAUCUUCGAUGAAUUUUUUGUUAAAAAAAAUAGUUAAUAGGACAAAAUGGUUGAUUGUAUCGCAGAUAUUGACCUAGUCUCUUCACAUAUUGAAAAGAAAUCUCCUGAGAAGCUUGAAGUUUCAUUACUUGAAAAACACUUACACUUUUUAUACCUACUUUUCCUUGUAAUAUCUCCUGACUAUUCAAUAAAAAUGACAUCACUCCAUUUUGAGAUUAGUCAACCUGCUAAUCGACUUUUCCAAUAUCUUUCUAAAAUGACUUUUCUUAUGCAUCUUAUUUUCUCAACUAAUAUACUUUAAGAUAAAAAGUUAAUAGAAAAUGAAGAGCACAGUAGAUUUCGCGCGACUCAUGCAAAUAAUUGAUUGUUUAUUACUAGAAUUGUGAAAGAACAUACAAUAAUGUUUCAGUUUCAAACAGAAUAAUGUGCCUAACUUCACCAUUAAGAUCCUAAAACUUGUUUUUGUGAAAUGAAGCCUUCCCUCUUUGAUGUUUUCUUAUUUUGUUUCUUAGAUUUAUGAAAUGCCUAUUGAAUAAGGAUGGUCUCCGAGCCUAUAAAUGCGACCAGAUUUUUAGUAUUAUCAUGAGAUACACACGUAAUAAUAUAUGCAAGAAAAAUAUUCAUUACAACAGUAAAUGUCAAUAGGACCAUGGCCGUUAUGCUCUCCAGUAAGAUAUAAGUUAGCUUGUUGUUCUCUUGAACUGGUGUUGUAGAUACCCUGUAGUUAUUGUUGAGCACUGUUGAACACAUUGUUGCUAUUGUAUCUUAAAUGUUAUUGGACACAUUUUUUUGUUGCUAUUUUGAAAUGCAGUUGAAGAACUUUUUUUUGUUAUUUUUGUGUGAUGAGUCGUUGUUGUUGCUGAAAUUUGAUGCAAUUAAAAUAAUUUUUUCUUCUCUUUUUUGGAUAUUGAUGAGAUCAUUUUGGAUACUUUAGGUUGAUUCACAUGUUUACUAUAUUUCUAUGGCACUACCAGUUAUCAAGUUACCACAUUACUAAUAACACAUCCUUUUUUUAGUUUAUUAACACAACAAUGUCCAUUACAACCCGAAUGUUGUGAUGUAAGAAAAUACAUGGCUUGAAUAGGAGAGAAGCUAGUUGCAAUUUAAAACUUAGAAUUUUUACACUUUAUUUAUUUUGAGAUAUGGGAUGCUAUUAUUUGAUCACAUUAUUAUAAUACUGACAUUUGAUCACCAAUUCAUAAUUUUACAGGCAUUUAUCAGUCAAAAAAAAGAUUUAUCACAACACAAAAAUUAUGUUAACUUUGGACAAUGUAGAAAUAGAAUAUAAAUGUAUUACUCUCUUUAUGUAAAUGGCUACUUUAUUAUUCAGUAGUAUGAUUCUCAUGGAUGUAUAAAGAACACAUCUGACAACCCUACUAUAUUUAGGUGCGUCAUAUUGUGUACUAAAAUUCCGCAUAUAUAAUAAUAUUCAACAGUUAGUAUA
Molecule: long non-coding RNA, 2945 nt
Organism: Capsicum annuum
Lineage: Eukaryota; Viridiplantae; Streptophyta; Magnoliopsida; Solanales; Solanaceae
Exons: 6
Source: RefSeq, a predicted model, not a curated record